RNAcentral lists this long non-coding RNA (488 nucleotides) under Ceratitis capitata (Mediterranean fruit fly). Its description in RNAcentral is "uncharacterized LOC111591693, transcript variant X2". The record is from RNAcentral. Lineage: Eukaryota; Metazoa; Arthropoda; Insecta; Diptera; Tephritidae.
AAAAAAAACAAUUAAUAUGAGUAAUGAAUGAAAGGGAAAAAACGAAAAACAUGUGGAUAUGUGCAAAAAUAGAAAACAGAUAUGUUUUGGAGUCUAUGGGAUCUUACAUGAUAAUAUUCGCUUUCCAACGUAUUUUUGCUUAACCCAGAUUACAUCAAUGAUGGAAGUGUUCUGAAGAAAGUACAAUAAUGAAUAAAGUAAAAAUUAAUACAUGAAACAGUAAUCGCGUUAAUAAAUUGAUUACAUAUGCAUGCCCUUAAUCAUUACUACAAUAAAAAUAUAUUACCUUUGAAAUAAUUAAGUAAAUUGUACCUCGUAUUUUUGAAUUGAUUUUUUAACCCAAACGAACCGAAUUCUGGAGCUGAGUAUUUUUGAACUUAACCUCUAAUUAAACGUUAUCAAUGCAUCAACGAUUCUAAAAUGAAUAUAAACGCUAAAGAUUAAUCAACAUUAAAAUAAAUUUAUAAAUUAAUUUACAACAACAACAA